Molecule: transfer RNA, 76 nt
Filed under: Mogibacterium sp.
Lineage: Bacteria; Bacillati; Bacillota; Clostridia; Peptostreptococcales; Anaerovoracaceae
Description: tRNA-Val
Rfam family: tRNA
About the family: Transfer RNA (tRNA) molecules are approximately 80 nucleotides in length.
Source: RNAcentral
GGGCGCUUAGCUCAGCUGGGAGAGCACCUGCCUUACAAGCAGGGGGUCAUAGGUUCAAGUCCUAUAGCGCCCACCA